Oryctolagus cuniculus (rabbit) is the source of this 3391-nucleotide non-coding RNA. Lineage: Eukaryota; Metazoa; Chordata; Mammalia; Lagomorpha; Leporidae. The record is from RefSeq and is a predicted model, not a curated record.
UUUACGGUCUCGAAGGCAUUUAUUCAGAUUAGAACAGCUGCGUAUAACCUACUACCCAAGCAAUCAGCUCAAGAAUCCAAAUAAAAUAAAACGAGAGAAACUAGUAAGGAAAUAAUAAAGGUAAUGAUAAAAAUGAAUAAACCAUAAAACAAGCCGUGGAACAUCCACAUGAAAUAAAGGCAUCAAGAACACAAAAGUGAGCUGCUUAGAAAGUGCACGAUUUCAACACAGCUUGGAAGUCUGGGACUGCAGGAGGUGGCACACACGGACAGUGGGGCGAGGGGAGACGGGGUCCGCGGACGGGCUCAGGAGCGCCCCCACAGGCAGUGUCGGGAACGACCGCCGCAACGCGCCUCUCUGAUCUCACACCCGCACAGCCCAGGCUCCCACCAGAGAUGUGCCCACGUGCAGAGUGGACGUUCAGCUCUGCAGAAGAAUCACCUUUCAUUGCGCCAAGAUUCCUUUCACUCAGUGUUGAGAAGUGAGUCCCACCAAGUGGAUCUGUCCUUAUGGGGCCCAUGGAGCCCGGGAAGUUUCAACAGAGAACGCCGAGUUCAGAAUCCGAGAGAGAAGUGGUUAACAGAGCUGUGAACCCGAUCCUCAGAGAAAGCGCAAGAGGGAAGCCAGCCAGCACUGGGGGGAGGGGGGGGACAGCAUUUGCUGAGGCUAAGAGGCCACAGUGAGGACCGCUGGCCACUGUGCAGCUGUGCAACCUGGAGCAAGCCCCUGACCAUUCUGAGCGCAAACCCUCCUCUUCAAGUUGAAGAUGGCCCCAGUGCCCCCCUCCGGAAUUGCCAAGAUGACCUAAGAUAAUGGAUGGAACGCUGCGGGUCCAGGGCCUGCCAGAGGCAACCAUGAGCUUCCUUGGUGUGAGCCUCCCAUCAGCACAGGGGGAUGAGGAGGCAGGAGGAACAUCAGAGACAGAGGGAAAGGCAGGUUUGAGUCGGGCUGCAGAGCUCUCCAUGCCACGCCACGCCACCCCAACGGGUGGAGCUGGGCACAGAGCCUCUGAGCAGUCUUCAGAGAACCCACAGGGUAAGACAGGGCCCAGCCUAAGAGAAGGGGACCCACGAGAACCAACCGCACAGCAGGAAAGAUCACCAGGGGAGGAGACACUCUGGGGACCUGGGCUCCCAAUACGUGCCCUCCAGGCUCCCACUUUUGGAGCUGUACGUCGCUUUCCCUGCUGUGUGGCAUCAGAGCUCAGUGUGAGGGCGUCCGUGUGUGUGCUGGCGGACUGGACGCCACGGAGCAGCUCCACGCCAAUUCACCGUCACGUGGGUCAGCGUCUGUCUCUUAACAAGAGCUUUGAUCUAACUCGCCUGAUUCCGAAACAUCUUCCCCUGUUUGGACAGAAGGCUCCAGGGGGAGUCUAUCUGGAAUCCUCCAGCAAGGGCACCGCGGCGUCGGCCAGCCCUGGCCGCUCAAAGACGCUUCCAGGGACGCAGCUGCUGCGUAAACAACUGCUUUUCAGAACAAGCGAAUUGGCAGAAAACUACAGGAGCUCAAGGACUGGUCAGCGAGUCCGUGACAACAGGCAGGCCCCUGUAGUCGCUUUCCAGACCCUGCUGGCUUGCACAGCUACACCUGUAGCUGUUUGCCACCUUCCUCUACCUGUACGUCUGUGCUUGGCAAGGGAGGGGCUGAAUAACCUGGUUUAAUAAACGCUCUGGGAGCACUUCAGAGAGAUGGGGGCCAACGCUGGGCCCGAGCAAUCCGCUACUGGGUAAGACAUACUCUCAGCCCUCAAGGACGCAACGGUGACGGUCGGUAAGGCGGAAUGCUAGCAGAGUGUGAUGCGUGCUCUGAGUCGGCGUGCGUGCUCCCUGAGCAUCAGGGAGACUCCCCGGGAGGGCAGCAUUUGGACGGAGACUUCAAGGACGAGCCGUUUUCCCAGGUAGACAGCUGGGGUGGAGAAUCCCUGGCAGAAGAACAGCGGUAUCCAAGCCACACAACCCGCAGCUUCCUAACGCAGAGCCUCCUCCAGCACCCGGGCUGCUCAGCUCCCUAGCUCACCCCUGAAGCUUAAUUAAAAUGAAGAUGAAGUGCUCUCCGUGACGGGGCGCGCUGGGUGGCAGCCACCGUGCCAAGGACCCGGCGGGCCCUCUCAUGUGCACAAUGCUCCUCGGCUUCUGCUCUGGCGACAGAGGCUUCCUCCAGGAGCCUCAUUAUAAUUCCUUUGAUAAUUAAAACAACAGAUGUUAUAAUUAAGAGGCUCCUCAUUAAAUCACAAAUAACUGAAGCUUGAGGUUGGGUCCUCCCUGAACAGUGCCGUGGAGUCACCUUUGGAGCUAAGAGGGAAGGCAGCCAGGCCGGGAACACUCGGGAGGUGGGAAGGCCGUGGCGGGCAUCCUGGGGCAGGCGGCGAGGACCGGUGCAUGAUGGGAGUGUGGGGGAGAGGCAGCUUCCGGCGGUUGGGUGGGGCAUGGAGGACCGGCUCUGGGGGCUCUGCCUUGUCCUGCUGUUCUCUGGCCCUCAGGGAUCAGGUGCACGGGGAGCGGCCAAGGCAAACGAGACCCCGAGACUUGAGGCAAGGGCUUGGACAAGGGCUCUGUGUACUCGGUUCUCCCGUAGACCACACUGCUCCACCAUCCCUGCAUGAGCCCAGCCUCUGAGCCGCCACACCUGGGCCCCGGGGAGCCGGUGAAAUGCACCUGGGCCUGGGGUCUGGGGGCAGGAGGUGGUUGUAAAGCCCCAGCCCGGAGUCUGCAGGGAGGGAGCUGGAGUGUGCACUGGCUGAGUUGCCACGAGGGGCUUCUAGGAGGCAGCUCCAUGGGGAGCCCCGAGUCUGGCUGUGGCUGCGGGCUGGUGGCCCAGCAGGGGUUGGGGGGGGCAUUGGCACUAGAGCUGGACUCAAAGCCCACAGGGGCAGUGCUGCUGUCCUCGGCCCUCUCCCGCCACUGCCCCACUCUGGCUGUGCCAUUGGAUGAGCUCUGAACAGCCCUGUGCCACGGGGAGGAGCCAGCAGGCCUCUGCCAGUCCCCUCACCUCCUCCCGCACUGUCCUCAGGCCAUGGCGUCUCUCUCUCAUCCUGCUUCCUCGACGGUGAACCAAGGGCAGAAGCCCUGAAUGCUCAUGGUGACAGUGCGUGCUCCCUGGUGUGCCAGCACAUUCAGAGUCUUGCUCAUGUCCGCUCUUGAAUGCUCACACGACCCCGUAGGAGGGCAGGUGGAGGGCGGGCAGAUCAGCUGGUAAGAGCCUGCAGCCGGGGAGGGCCAGCCCAAGGCCGGGCCCUGCUGGUUGUUCCGCCUUGCCAGGGUGGGGCAGGCACAGAGGGAGCCAAUGCUCCUCCCCAGGUAGCCUGAGCCAGGCUAGGGCGUCCGUUUCACCAACGCAGAGCAGCUCCAGGUUGGGUAAUGGCGGGCACGCGAGAAGGGAGCCAAGGCCGCCA